CCAGACUCCUACGGGAGGCAGCAGUGGGGAAUAUUGGACAAUGGGGGGAACCCUGAUCCAGCGACGCCGCGUGAGUGAAGAAGUAUUUCGGUAUGUAAAGCUCUAUCAGCAGGGAAGAAAGAAAUGACGGUACCUGACUAAGAAGCCCCGGCUAACUACGUGCCAGCAGCCGCGGGAAUACGUAGGGGGCGAGCGUUAUCCGGAUUCACUGGGUGUAAAGGGAGCGUAGACGGCCAAGCAAGCCAGGGGUGAAAGCCCGGGGCCCAACCCCGGGACUGCCCUUGGAACUGCUUGGCUGGAGUGCGGGAGGGGCAGGCGGAAUUCCUGGUGUAGCGGUGAAAUGCGUAGAUAUUAGGAGGAACACCAGUGGCGAAGGCGGCCUACUGGACGGUGACUGACGCUGAGGCUCGAAAGCGUGGGGAGCAAACAGGAUUAGAUACCCGGGUA
RNAcentral lists this ribosomal RNA (447 nucleotides) under uncultured bacterium. RNAcentral's name for it is "bacterial SSU rRNA". It matches the Rfam family "Bacterial small subunit ribosomal RNA", at positions 331 to 792 of the family's 1533-position model. The record is from RNAcentral.